RNAcentral lists this long non-coding RNA (743 nucleotides) under Brassica napus (rape). RNAcentral describes it as "long non-coding RNA (BNAP_LNC025860)". The record is from RNAcentral. Lineage: Eukaryota; Viridiplantae; Streptophyta; Magnoliopsida; Brassicales; Brassicaceae.
UUCACUCGGAGUAAAUUCUCCAUCGAAUAAACCAUAAAUAGAAACACAAAUAAAAAUGGCACAUAAAAACAAAAGUGCGCGAAUCAUCUUUCUUGAAAAAUCGGAGGAGAGCGAUUUGAAAUUUUUGAGAGAAGAUGAAAUGUUUUGGAUGAUGAAAUGAAAUGAAAAUGAGUUGUAUUUAUAGAUGAAAAUUACUGUUCAUGACCGUUGGAGAAAGGGGAAAUUUUUGAAAAAUUUUCUUUGUGACCGUUGGGUUAAAUCGAGUGCACCAAAAAUUAGUGUGAAAAUAUCGUAUUAAACGGUCAAUCAAAUCUAUAAAAUUUCAUAAAAGUGAAAAAUUAUGACAAUGAAAUAUUUAUGUUAUAUGACAACAAAUCAUGCGACGGCUCAGCCGAUCAAUGCAGAAUAAUAAAUAAAUUAUACGGCGGCUCGGCCGACCAAUUAAUAAUAAACAGAAUAUAAGGCGGCUCAGCCGACCAAUAAAUAAUAAACAAGAUAUAAGGCGGCUCGGCCGACCAAUAAAUAAUAAACAUGAUAUAAGGCGGCUCGGCCGACCAAUAAAUAAUAAACAAGAUAUAAGGCGGCUCGGCCGACCAAUAAAUAAAUUAAAUUACUAGUAAAUAAUAUAGGCGGUAUUCCGGCCAUUAUAACAUGAUAUAAAUAAUAGUAGAGGCGGUAUACCGACCAUUAUAACAGGGUAUAAAUGAUACAAAUAAAUUUUACCGAAUCGCAGAGUGAUCGUG